This 87-nucleotide non-coding RNA is filed under the name Klebsiella pneumoniae. Lineage: Bacteria; Pseudomonadati; Pseudomonadota; Gammaproteobacteria; Enterobacterales; Enterobacteriaceae. RNAcentral also lists the same sequence under 1 other name. The record is from RNAcentral.
GAUUAUGGUGGGCUGUGUGGGGGCGGAGAAAUCCGCGCCGGGUCCUUUGUAGCCGGUAAGACCAACUCUGCACAGUUCACCACCACC